UACGAACCGUCCAAACGUUAUUCGGAAUCACUGGGCUUACAGAGUUCGUAGGCGGUCUGGAAAGUUGGGUGUGAAAUCCCUCGGCUCAACCGAGGAACUGCGCUUGAAACUACCAGACUCGAGGGAGAUAGAGGAAAGCGGAACUGAUGGUGGAGCGGUGAAAUGCGUUGAUAUCAUCAGGAACACCGGUGGCGAAGGCGGCUCACUGGACCGGCAUUGACGCUGAGGUGCGAAAGCGUGGGGAGCAAACAGG
This 253-nucleotide ribosomal RNA is filed under the name uncultured bacterium. RNAcentral describes it as "partial 16S ribosomal RNA". It matches the Rfam family "Bacterial small subunit ribosomal RNA", at positions 524 to 776 of the family's 1533-position model. The record is from RNAcentral.